CGAGAACGAACUGUUCGUCUUUGUUUCGUGUGCUACUCCACUUCCUGAAGAAUUGAUUUCUGAAGUCGUGGGCGAUCGGGGUUCAAGCUCAUUUAUGAUUAGCUGGUUCUUGUCAGAAGAGAUGAUAGAUAAUUGCAACUGCUCCGAGCUCAUCAGCAGGAGGGAAGCUUUUUCCAUUGCUAAAAGAAUUGUCUAUGAAAUCUGGUUCAAUUGCCUAAAUGGGCUCCCGCCAAUAGAAUGACCAGGCUAUCAUUGAGUAUGAAAGAUCAGGAGAGGCUGGCGAGAUUCCGACUGUGAAUUUCUUCGAAAGUACAGUGGGUACAUUGAAAUUACUGCCAAUACUGUUCUGUCCAUUCUAGUUGUCGAAAGAGUUUCUUACUAUGUGUCUGAUGCUGAAAUCACCCCAAUUUAAGUGGAUGUCAUUCUACAAAAAAUUUAAUAUCAAGCCUUGCCCUCCUGAGUUUUAUUUCUCCCAAAAGAUUGAUUAUUUGAAUCUUAGUUUGCUGAACUUUGUUAAGGAGAAUCAAGGUAUGUAAUAAAAUCUCUUCUUA
This is a long non-coding RNA of Cryptomeria japonica (Japanese cedar), 551 nucleotides long. RefSeq lists it as uncharacterized. The transcript has 4 exons. The record is from RefSeq and is a predicted model, not a curated record. NCBI's taxonomy places the organism in Eukaryota, Viridiplantae, Streptophyta, Pinopsida, Cupressales, Cupressaceae.